UUUGUGCAAAGGUAGCAUAAUCAUUAGUCUUAUAAUUGAAGACUGGAAUGAAAGGAUAAACUGGAAAAUCUCUUUUUUAAGUAUUCUUCUCAAAAUUUACUUUUUAGUAAAAAGGCUAAAAUAUCUCUUUUAGACAAGAAGACCCUAUAAAACUUUACAUAAAAUAAUCAAAUAAAUUAAAAAUAUGUUUUACUGGGGCGGUGAGAGGAUAAAACACCUCAAAAUUAUUAUAAAUAUUAUGAUUGUAAUACCCAAAAAUUUUGAAAAUUAAAUAAGCUACUUUAGGGAUAACAGCGUAAUAUGUUUAGAAAGUUCAAAUUGACAAACAUGUUUGCGACCUCGAUGGUGGAUUAAUUUUCCUUUGCUGGCAAGGGCAGUCC
This 380-nucleotide ribosomal RNA is filed under the name Centruroides baracoae. Its description in RNAcentral is "partial 16S ribosomal RNA". It matches the Rfam family "Bacterial large subunit ribosomal RNA", at positions 1945 to 2574 of the family's 2925-position model. The record is from RNAcentral. Lineage: Eukaryota; Metazoa; Arthropoda; Arachnida; Scorpiones; Buthidae.